GGCCAUGCAGAGACCCAACAAGUAUAUUAAAACUAGAUAAACUGUAAGAUUGACAUUCAAUUUUUUCUAUCAUUUUCAAGCCUACCAAUUCCUCACCUUUUACUUUCAAAUUUUUUGAUCUGCACCACAGUCGGAAAUAUUCAAGGCAAGAGAGCUUUGGUAAUAUUCCGAUUGGGAACUCUAGAUCUCGCACAUAGAGAUUAAGAUACCUGAGAUUGAUCAAACUUUCCAUGCCUUCAGGUACAUGUUGGAUUCCAGUAUAUCUAAGAUCCAACUCCCUUAGUGCACCUAGCUUUGCUACAGAAGGCACGGACUGCAAUAAUGCUUAAGAUACAAUGCAACAAGAUUCUCCAAUGUGGAGAUGGAGUUUGGUAAACUCUUAAUUCCAGUAUAAGACAGAUCCAGAAGCCUCAAAACAUGCAUGCAUGAAAAGAAAGAAUCUGGAAUUCUAACCAGAUCUUUAUUCUGUGCCAGUAACAUGGUUUGAAGUUUUGGACAUUUUGGUGACAAUCUAGAAGGAAUUUCUGAUAUGUGAUUGUCAAUCAAGGAUACGCUCUCAAGUUCCUCCGUCCAUCUGUUCGCAUUUGGUAAUUCUCUUAACCGAACUCCAGCUUCUACAAGCAAUUGAUGAUCCAUGCUUUUCAUCUGUAUUACCAUCUCCCUAAUUAGGUCAUGCAUCUUCACAUAUUUCUUAUCACGAAUGCUUUCCAAAAGACAAGCAUUUUCAAGCUUGUUUAGCAUAGCAUAUCCAUUGACAAACUCUGCUUCGCUACUUUUCAUUUUAUCUACUAUUCCUAAACUAAUCAAACGCCUUAUCAGCUGUGUCCUUUUGAUCAAAAAGUCCUCCGGGUAUAAUGCACACAAUAUAUGAGACACUGCCUGAACUUGUCAUCUUUCAAAUGCGCAUAACUAAAUUUUAGCCGCUCAAUCACCUGAUCCAUUUCUUCCCUAAGCCCCUUUGUAGAUUCCCUCAACUCCUCUAGAGCAUUUUGCCAUUCAUAUAUGUCAUCUACGCCCUUCAUACUACCAGCUAUAGUGACAAUUGCAAGAGGCAAGCAGGCACAUUCAUCAGCAACUUGUUUUGCUGUUGCUUCUAAUUCCGGGGUAUUAAAAACUUGAUUUCCAACUUUUUCCACAAAUAAGUUCCAUGCCUCCUCUUCAGUAAGAAGCCCCAUUUUGAUAUCCUUGCAAUCCAUUCUCCGACAAACGUCACGCAAUCGAGUUGUUAAUACUAAUUUGCAUCCAUUAUCAGGUGUAGGCUCAGGAAUUCCUACAUCCUCAAGAUUGAAUGCUUCCCACAUAUCAUCAAGGAUUAACAACCAGUUUUUCGCUUUUCCCAGCCAUUUAAAUAACUUGACAGCCAUUUUUGUUUCAUCCUUACAUUGUGCAAAAUCUCGAUUCAAUGCAGCUGCAAUGUCUUUCUGUAAGUUCCCAAAUUUUAGUGGUUGUGACACUGUCCCAUGUCAACCAAUAGUACCAUAUCUGCAAAUUCGUUCCCAAUCUUAUAAAAACUCGAAGAAAUCACCACUUUCUUUAUAUUAAUAUGCUAUUUUAAGUCUUGGAUAACGCUUCCACCUUUGUCAGGAGCAUCAAUUAAAUAAGCCUUGCCGAUCUCAAAAACUUUAUAAUCCAACGAGUCAAGAACAUCAGGAAACUCAUCAAAAACUCCAUCACCAAACGUAGAAACUUCCAACCAGGUUUUCUUAAAUCGAUCAAAAGGGAACCGGGAGAGUGGGUUUGUAAUAAUAACCUUGCCAGAUUUUGAUUCUUUAGCUCUAACAAUCCAACUCUUGGUACGGUUGGUGAGGGGUUGGAUAGAGUAAAUUGUGUAGAGAUAUUUUAGGCUUGAUUUUAGUAAUCUUUGUGAAAUAGUCAAGCAUAAUUAGUGUCCUUGAUUAUAUGGUCAAUAGCUAAUAAUAAGCUUGUAUCAAUUCAAGCAUAAUUAGUGUCCUUGAUUAUAUGGUCAAUAGCUAAUAAUAAGCUUGUAUCAAUUCUCCUAUAUAUAUUCUUGUAUAUAUACCUUUAAAAAAAAAAAAAUUAGAAUACAAUUUGAUUAUUCUGCUUUUAAUUCAAACUAAUUGUGUAUUCAGUGAGCACAAGAUAGUCGUAGUUGAGAUCAUUGAUUUCAUAAGGUAACUCAAUGAAAUUCAUUUGAUUUUUGGAUCAACCAUAGAAUUCAAACUAUAUAGCUUUACUAACUUGCACUUAAAAUUUAUUAAAUUUACUAGCUUUUGUAUUCCUUCAAGUUUAGAAUUCAUUUGCAAAUUCUAUCAAUUUCGAAAUAAUUUGGUCCAAGCACAACCUAUUCCAUAGAAUUAAACAUAUGGAACUUCAAAUGAAUUUUUAUUUAUACCAAACAUGAAAAAUGGGAUUUAUAAAUGAAUUCCAUAGAAUUUUAUGGAAUUCAUUUACCCCAAACAAGCUCCUGGUGAGCUUUGAGCCUUUUAAGGAUAGAUAAUAGUGUAGCCUAGCUAGAAAAUAAUGCUUGCCUGAGCAUUUACAGAUCCUUGAACAGCUUAUCCUUGUCAGAUUGCAUUAAUUUUAUAGAAACUUGCAGAAAGGUUGAAGGGCAAUCUUAGAGCCAGGUUGAUCCCAUUCCAGUGAUUCCCACCAUUUUUCAUCUUGAACAUAGAUCUGUUCGAGAUUAGGUGGAGCAAAUGCUACACCAUCAACAAUCGGAAGCUCAAGCGGGAGCCUUCUCAUAUUUGGACAUGCAGUAACUGUCAUGUAAAGGAGAGAAGGACAAAGCACCAACCCCAGACAGAUGCUUUUUAAUUCUGGUAGCCUACACAAAGAGAGACUCCUCAAGUUGGGGAGAACAAACCUCAUGGCAAUACCUUUAUUUUCCAUUGGUAAAUGGUUGCUGCUGCUUGCUGCCUGCUCAUCUGUUGUUGUAAAAAACUGCUUCAUUUGUGGGCAGUCAUAAAUAAGAACCUCUUCAAGGUUUUGAAGUAGUAGAAGCAACCCAGGUUUGAACAGACUCCUUAUAUUUGAACAACCUGAGAUUUUGAGAACUGUGAGACUGGAAAAGGCACUAGGAAGAACUGAUUGUGGUGUAGCAAGCAAAGAAGUUGAUGUCAUUGCCAGGCUUUCUUUACCUGAAUUAAAAUGAAUUUCAUUCUUCUGUGUUGAAAAAUAGCUCAAGGUUUUGAAAUUGUGGCACCUCUCAAUACUCAGGUACUCAACAUCAAUUGGGACCAAAAGUGAAUCUUCUAUGCCUUUUUCACUGAUGCCAUAAUCAAUUAUUGUUACAACUUUUUUGAAGUCUGCAGCUGUAUACAAGUCCUCCUCUCCCAGAUGUAGAAAGUAAUUUCUCAGCACUCGGCCAUGCAGAGACCCAACAAAUAUAUUAAAACUAGAUAAACUGUAAAAUUGACAUUCAAUUUUUUCUAUCAUUUUCAAGCCUACCAAUUCCUCACCUUUUACUUUCAAAUUUUUUGAUCUGCACCACAGUCGAAAAUAUUCAAGGCAAGAGAGCUUUAGUAAUAUUCCGAUUGGGAACUCUAGAUCUCGCACAUAGAGAUUAAGAUAGCCGAGAUUGAUCAAACUUUCCACGCCUUCAGGUACAUGUUGGAUUCCAGUAUA
RNAcentral lists this long non-coding RNA (3585 nucleotides) under Jatropha curcas. RNAcentral describes it as "long non-coding RNA (JCUR_LNC000516)". Lineage: Eukaryota; Viridiplantae; Streptophyta; Magnoliopsida; Malpighiales; Euphorbiaceae. The record is from RNAcentral.